CAGUGUUUGGCAUGAGCUUUUGAAGAAAAAGACCUGUCAGAUUUGUUUACUUUCUCACAGAGAUUAAUGGCGAUCUGAAGUUAAAAGGGUGUGGGGCGGGGCUCCGAGCACGUGGACUUGUUUACUUCCCUGCGCGAGCUCCGGUUUCUUCUCUAAAAGCGCACUGCGCGCUCCCGCUCAGCCCCGCCCCCCCUGCCCGCGCUCACCCCGCGCGCGCGCGCAUUACACGAGAUCCGGUGCUGCUGUUUGGUUGGACUGCAGGGAUUUUUGGUGUUUUCCUGCCCAGUGUGUAUGUCCAGAAGCUCUGUACUGACACGCAUGAAUUUAUUUUUUUUUUAAUCUCAUCAAUAUCGCGUUAUAACGAGAAAAAUAUCACGUUAUUACGAGAACAUCAGUUAUUUCGCCAAGUAUCGCGUUAAUUGCUAGGAGGAAAACCAAGGUUUUUAAUAGAAGCUGGACAGCAUUUUGCGCAUUAAGUAAAAUUUCACUCAUUCUGCCAUAAUUUUGAACUGGUAAUGAGACUAUACUGUAAAAACAAGAUCAGUUAAGUUGCCUUUAUAACAUCUGUCUCGUACGCGACGUUUCGUCCGAGUAACGCGAUAUUUGGCGAAAUAACGCGAUGGUUUUUCUCGUAAUAACGUGGUAUUCUUCCUAUAUAACAACGCGAUAUUUUCAUGUAAAAACGUGAUAUCGGUUGGAUUUUCUUUGAUUUCAUGCGUGGCAGCACAAAGCCUCUGUAGGUAUGCAUAUUGAGACGAGCAAACUGCGCUUUCUGGGAGCAGCUGUGCUCCAAACACACCACAUCUGCACACAGGAGCGCGCUGACAGCUUUCAUGCACUCAAACCAUCUGGAGGAAAUGCAAUGAAUCCCCUGAAAAAAAAGAAUAAAAUAGUUUGGCUGCAAAUGUCAUGAGUGGGACCCUGUGUAAACUUUACAAAACUUGUGAUGCACUCACUUUCAAAGUAUGGCGUGUCCUGAAUUAUUACCUGCUCUGAUGGACUCGGACCCCACUGGAAACUGAUGCGUCCAUGAUCCAAGCCCAUCACCUGCUUGCAUCCAUCUCUGCUGCCUUAUUUAAGAGCUUUAAUGUCCUCCAACUCAGCAACAUCAUCGGCUAUUAGAUUAGCACACUGUGAACUGAGGCACCCAUUUCCGCAGGCCUCUGGGGAUUAUGGCUUCCUGCAGUAAUCUUUCAUAAGCGCUCAGAGAGGCCCUGAGCCAAUGCAUCACGCAGGUUAAAAUACAGCAGUACAAGAAUGGCUGGUGUCUUCUGCGAGUGGAAGAAAAUGAUUUGUGCACACAUCAAAACAUCAUCCUGACAUUUAUCUAAUCUGUAGUGCACAGCAAAAUCCCAAAUGCUGAAUUAACAGCUGCAGUGUUAGUUGAAUUUUUACAGUCCAGAUGGACUUUUAUAAACACUGUAGGUGUUAAUUCAGAAGUGUACAUCAGUUGGUAUUUCAGUGUUUGGCUGUUAUUUAAGGCUUUCACAGUGUAACAUGAAACUGCUGAUUAUAUGCAUCUGUAGCAUACUAUACAAUUUAUAUUGUAUAUAGGGCCAUAAGCAGGACCAGAAUUUUUGUGAGGUCCACAUGUACUCAUCCUUCGUUUCUCUCUUGUUUCUCCUCACUAAUUACUGGAAAAGCAUCUUUUUAAAAUACUGUGUACACUGCAGUUAACGCAGUGUACUAGCACAGUGUCUCAGCUAACUAGCAAGCUCAUUUGGCUGGCAAAGGUAUAAGUAGUUUGCAUUUGACAAAUUGACAACUGCUCUCAUAAACACAUUUACACUCACCGACCACUAUAUUAGUAACACCUGUACAUCUGUUCAUGAAAUUAUCCAAUCAGCCAAUCAUGUGGCAGCAGCGAAAUGCAUAAAAUCAUGCAGAUACAGGUCGGAUGGGUUGGGCUACAACAGCAGAAGGCCGCAUUGUGCUCCACUCCUAUCAGCCAAGAACAGGAAUCUGAGUCUACAGUGGGCACACACUCAAUAAAACUGUACAGUUGAAGAUUGAUUGGGGAAAAGAGCAGGAGACGUUUUUCCAAUCUUCGACUGUCCGGUUUUUAUUGAGCCUGUGCCCACUGUAGCCUCAGAUUGCUAUUCUUAAUUGACAGGACUGAAACCUGAUGUGGUCUUCUGCUGUUGUAGCCUAUCCCCUACAAUGUUCAGCCUGUUGUGCAUUUUGAAAUGCUUUUCUGCACACCAUGGUUGCAAAGAGUGGUUAUUUGAGUUACCAUAGCCUUCCUGUCAGCUCCGAACAGUCUGGCCAUUCUCCUCUGACCUCUCUCUCUGUUUCCGCCCACUGAACUCCUCCCUCACUAGAUGUUUUUUUUUUUUUUUGCACCAUUCUGUGUAAAGUCUAGAGAUGGCUAUGCGUCUCCCACCAGCCAUUCAACAGUCAGAGUUGCUGUGAUCACAUUUUCCCCAUUCUGAUGUUUGAUGUGAACUGAAGCUUUUGACCUGUAUCUGAAUGAUUUUAUGCACUGCACUGCUGCCACAUGAUUGGCUAAUAAUUACAUGAAUGAUCAGGUGUACAGGUGUUCCUAGUAAAGUGGCCAGUGAGUGUAUAGAAUAUGUUCUCACAUAAACUCAAACAUUUCUAUCAUAUCUAUGUCAUAUGUCCUUGAACAAAACAGUGAAAAAUGGAAGUGUAGCAUCUAUCGAGAGCUGAAUAUGUGAGUGUCCACUUUGGCUCAUCACUGCUUAUCAGGUAGUCUUGUCUCUAUUUGACAACUAGAGAUAUUAUGUGAGAGGUAUUUAAAAAAAAAACAUUCUGAAUCUACAGAGGUCCAGACCUCAGUGUCCUCAUAGCUAGUUAUGGCCAUGUGUAUAUCCACAUAACUUAUCAAAUGAGAAAUGAGUGGUUUAUUUAGUGUAGAAUAGUCUGUAAUAUGAAAUGCUAUGUAAAUUGGUUAACAGUUUUCUCAUUCUUUCAGCCUAUAAUUGUUGUUUUGUUUGUAGGCUUUUUUGGGGGGGUUCUCGCAGUGUUCCUGUGCUCUUGAUGCAUGAUUUUCCAUUUUCCAUAACCUCAUUAUUCAGUCACUUGCGGUGCAGACUUGGAAUCAUUUUCCUAUCUAAUGAUACCUGCUAUUCAAGUAAAUGUCAACAGCUGGACAAAAACUGUUAAAAUUGGUGAUGAAAAGCGAACUUUUGAUGAUAGUGGGAAUGAAGCCUGUUUCUAAAGCUGUUCUGAAAGUCAUUAUGUUCUUUUCCUGAGUCUUUUCAGAGUUUUUCACUGUUUUCACUGGUCUCUCUCCAGCCUCACUUUUCAGUAUUGUUUCCAACCAUUGAACUGACUUUGAAUUGUUCGCACAUUUGAAUGCUUAGUGUAUUUCUGUUUUUCUUGCAUACAGGCUCACUCUAGAACUCUAGUAUGCUUUGUACACUCAGGAAGCCUUGAACUUACAUCAUGUGUUUAUGCUGAGCAUUGCAGUUCCCUCAGAGAUUUUGAGACAACAGUCUUAUUCGGAAGUGUACCGAUGUGUGUUUGCACACAUGUUUGCAUAAUGCAUGUGUGUACGCUACCAUGGCUACUAAUGGAAUCCUCAGAGAUGGUGCAAUGUUCUGUCUAGAGGGAAAAAGACUCCUCCUUCCUGUGUGUGGGUGUUUGUGCGUGUACAUGUAUACAUCCACAUGACAGUGUAUCAUCUCCUUGAAGGAGUACUCCAGGAUUUUUCAGCCUAAUCUCUAUCAGUUACAUCUGUAGUGUAUGUGUGUUCACCACAGAUCAGUAAGGGCUGGUUCUGCUAUUAGAUGGGAGGACAAAACUUGAAUAUCUAUGAGUAGCUCGACAGUGAAUCUAUUAUCACUAUACCACACAGUCUCUGUAUCAAGUCUUUAAUGCUCUACUGAGUUUACGCAACCUUUCCUCCAAAUGCCAAACAUGGGUAAUAGAAAACUUGUAAAAAAAUAAAUAAAUAAAAACCUAAACUUACAGUCUC
Molecule: long non-coding RNA, 3940 nt
Organism: Pangasianodon hypophthalmus (striped catfish)
Lineage: Eukaryota; Metazoa; Chordata; Actinopteri; Siluriformes; Pangasiidae
Exons: 3
Source: RefSeq, a predicted model, not a curated record